RNAcentral lists this ribosomal RNA (274 nucleotides) under uncultured bacterium. RNAcentral's name for it is "partial 16S ribosomal RNA". It matches the Rfam family "Bacterial small subunit ribosomal RNA", at positions 523 to 796 of the family's 1533-position model. The record is from RNAcentral.
AUACGGAGGGGGCUAGCGUUGUUCGGAAUUACUGGGCGUAAAGGGCGUGUAGGCGGCUUGUCUAGUCAGAGGUGAAAUCCCCAGGCUCAACCUGGGAACUGCCUUUGAAACUGGCAGGCUAGAGACCGGAAGAGGGUAGUGGAAUUCCCAGUGUAGAGGUGAAAUUCGUAGAUAUUGGGAAGAACGCCAGUGGCGAAGGCGACUACCUGGUCCGGAUCUGACGCUGAGGCGCGAAAGCGUGGGGAGCAAACAGGAUUAGAAACCCGAGUAGUCC